Mobula hypostoma (lesser devil ray) is the source of this 650-nucleotide long non-coding RNA. RefSeq lists it as uncharacterized. The record is from RefSeq and is a predicted model, not a curated record. NCBI's taxonomy places the organism in Eukaryota, Metazoa, Chordata, Chondrichthyes, Myliobatiformes, Myliobatidae. The transcript is spliced from 4 exons.
GAGGAAUGGAUGCUAAUGAAUGUAAAAUACUGCCUCAAAGUUGCCACAUGUACAUAAUUACCUCAAUAGGCAAUCCACUGUAACUCAGCAGUUGAUUAAAGGCAAGCAGAAAAUCCCAGCUACAAGAACAAACAGCUCUUUCAAAUCAACUUCCAGGUUCGCCGAUGAUGUCGAGAGAACUGCGACCGAGGCACAGAGGGGAGUACAACAGGGUCUUCAACGAGCAGGAGGACACUGAGAAGUUGGUGGUUGUGAUCUGUCGGGGUGGACUAGGCCAUAGCAUGCUUUGAUCAGGAUGGAAGGUGACCUACGCCGUCCGACACCCAUGCAGCACAGAAGCAACCGUUCAGCUCUCUGAGAGAUCACCCUCCAAUUUCCAGGAACAACUUUCAAAUUGCUACCGGAAACCUGACUGAGUCCAAGAAGGCCACUGGAAAGAUCAGGAGUCAGAGCUAGAGUUGGACUAGAACCUCGUGGCCCUCACUGAUCUGGACUGAAGCUCCACACAGGAUGGUUUCUUAAGUUAUCACAUCUUGCUCUGGGAAAUGAAUUUCUCUACAAUUAAUUUCUCAAAACCUAGUAUGUUCUCCUUGUCUAAUAACAAUGCUGUGAAUUAAAUGCUUUGCUCCAUUUAAUACAUCUUCAUUGAC